This is a long non-coding RNA of Cornus florida, 3975 nucleotides long. RefSeq lists it as uncharacterized. The transcript is spliced from 4 exons. The record is from RefSeq and is a predicted model, not a curated record. NCBI's taxonomy places the organism in Eukaryota, Viridiplantae, Streptophyta, Magnoliopsida, Cornales, Cornaceae.
CCUACUACAUAUGGAGUAUAAAGUGGUAACGUAUUGCUAGCGCAUUUCACACGCUAAUCUCUCUCUUCCUCGUUCACAUGACCUAAUCUGAAGAUUGCGGCGACGACGACGACGCAGAUCUCAGACCACACCGCAACCAAAGCGUGGACAACUCCUUCCUUUACGAUUGCAAGUAGUUGAUUUCUAAGUAGGUACAUGCCAAUUAUACCAAUGGUUCUAAUCAAUGGAACUGAAGUCAUACUGAUCGAAGAUCGAUCUUAUAUCCCAAAAUAUAAUCCGAUGGACAUUGUUUCAAAUUUGAGGUGUUUACUAAAUGAUAAACCAAUGCAGCCCUAGUACAAAGGAUUUAGAGGAAAUAUUAAGAAAGCUGCAGCAGAUGGCUACACUAUUGAAGGACUAAUAGAGGAAGUCGAUGCAAUUACACUAAGGAUUACAGAGCUACCUAUUGGAGUAUCGUGUCAAGAUUAUAUAGACUUUCUGUGAUCGAUGACGACAGGGAAUGAUCCAUUCAUCAAGUCAUCUUACCUGCGGAGAACUUGAGCAUGGCCAAGCAUGAGGGUUUGCUUAAGAAAUUUAAGCUUACUACUACGAUCAAGGCAAGUAACAUGCGCCUGUUCAACCGAGAAGGCAUGAUUAAGAAAUAUGACACCCCUAUACAAAUUCUUGAGGAAUUCAUUCCUAUAAGAAUUGAAUUCUAUGAGGAAAGGAAGGAAAGUGGUUUAAAAAUGAAAUUAAAUUUUUGACAUUUGAAUUUCUUGUUUACUUUAUGGACAUGGCUGCUAACUAGAAAAUAAUUUUAUGCAGAAGUAUGUGUUAUGCAAUCUUGAAAUGGAAUUGUUGAAACUGGGAAAACAAAGUUAAGUAUGUAACUGAAGUUCUAGAAGGGAAGAUCAGUUUUUUCCAGGGGAACAUUGAUAGUCUGGUAAUGCUGUUGAAAGCAAAAAAACUUUAUGACUUUGGGGAAGAUAACAAAUACUCCUGAAGCAGCAGUUCCUGAAGAAGAUUAUGAAUACAUACUCAGAAUGCCACUUCUGAGCUUUUCUAACGAUGGGUAUAAGGAGCUAUGUUAUACAAGAGAUGUGCUUAAAAAUCAUGUUAAUGAUUUGAAAGAUGAAACUCCGAAGUCUAUGUGGUUGAAAGAUCUUGGCAGUUUUGAGAAGUUACUUCUUGAGGGUGUGAAACCCAGUGCAGUUCCGAAGAAUGCUUUUAAGAAGCAAAAGUUGUCAACUGUUGGUCCUCACCUCCGCCUCCACCAAGAAAGUAGUGGCAGUAAUUAUGGGCUAGUCCGACAUUGAAGGUGUUGUCACUCUCACCCAAGAGCAUAAUGGUCGAUUCUUCAGCUCUCUAAUUAAAUAGGUCUUAUAUUUUCUUGUUUUAUUUUGUUAUUAUGUUUCUAAACUUAUCAAAUAUUUAUAUGUUUUUGAGCUGAACUUAUCAAAUAUUUUUAUGUAUCAAAUAUUUAUAUGUUUUUGAGCUGAACUUUUCAAGUCUCUUUGUGUAUUUGAACUUUUCAAGUCUCUUUAUGUUGUCCUCGUGUCUCCCAACGGUUUCAUAUUCUCUGGUGAUCAAUGGCAGUUCAGUGGGUUUCUUCCAGCCAUCGCGUGGCUUGGGCCAAGGUAACCCUUUAUUGCCGUAUCUCUUUAUCCUUUGUGCCGAGGUGCUUUCUUUGGCCCUCUAGCAAGCCCAACAGGCUAAGAUACUGUCUGGGGUGCGGAUUUGUUGAGGUGCUCCAUCUAUUUUUCAUCUGUUUUUUGCAGAUGACUCUAUUGUAUUUUUCCAGGCUUCUGAAAUGGAGAUUGGCUCGCUUAAGCAUAUUCUUUCUGCUUAUGAGAUGACUUUCGGAUAAAAGGUGAAUUUUGAAAAAUCUGCCAUUUUUUUUCCUCUAAGAAUGCUCCUAUGCAAUUAAGGCGUACCUUGAGUCAGUUGUUGGGUCUGUCAGAGGAUGGGUUUCAAACAAAAUAUCUAGGGAUGCCACCGAUAAUUGGUCGGUCUAAAUAUGAUGUGUUCAAGUUCUUGUUCCAACAUAUGCAAGAUCGUUUAGCAUCUUGGCAGCAACAUGUUCUCUCAGAUGCGGGUAAGGAAGUUUUAAUUAAGGCAGUGUUGAAUGCUCUACCAACAUUUGUUAUGUCUGCUUUCAGGUUACCUCGUGGGUUGUGUUUUGAGUUAUUGAAGCAGGUGCGCUCUUUCUGGUGGCUGAAGUUUGGUAAAUGCAACUCCAUUCAUUGGGCUCCUCGGGAUCUCGUGCCAAAUUAAAAAGGAUGGUAGGUUGGGGUUUUGUGACAUUGAAGCUUUUAAUUUGGCUUUAUUGGCUAAGCAUGCUUGAAAAUUUCAAGUGUCUAAGCAAGGGGUGGUUUAUCAUUUAUUUAAAGUGAAAUACUUUUCAUCGUGUUCAUUUGUUGAUGCGAGACUUACAAUCCAUCCUGGGCUUGGCGUAGUAUUUUGUCGGCGCAGGAAUUGUUACGGCAUGGUUUGCGUUCGGUGGUGGGUAAUGAAAAUCUAUCCACAUUUGGAAAGAUAAAUGGAUCUCAGGUCUAUCACUGCCUUUGGGGCCGAGGGUGGCUGAGUCGGGUUUUUCUUGGGUUGAUGAGCUUAUUGACAGUAAUUGUAAUGCGUGCCGCAUGGAUGUAUUGCGACAAUUAUUUUCGUCCAUGGAAAUUCAGCGCAUAUCAAAGAUUUCUUUAUGUUAUGGCCAUUGGAGGAUAUUCAAAUUUGGGACGUUAAUGCUUCAGGUAGGUUUAGUGCUAAACCUGCAUAUCAGUUAGCCGUGUCUCUUGCUUCCUAGAAUCCGCAGAGGAGGACAUGAGCAGUUGGAACACGGGUGUCGGGAUAGUUAUGGAGUAAGCUGUGGAGUUUUUCUUUACCUUCUAAAAUCAAACACUUUAUUUGGAAAUGUUGUUAUGGAGCUAUUCCAACAGGGUAUACGUUAGUCCACCGAGACUACUUGUAAGAUCCGGUGUCUCCGAGGUGUGGGCUGGAGGUUGAGGAUAUUGCUCAUCUAUUUUUUAGAUGUUCUCACUCUGUUCAAGUAUGGAAGUUAUCUCCACUUCGUUGGGAUUUUUCUCAACAUUCUCCUCUUUAUUUUGUUGAAUGGUGGGAUAGAAUUUCGAGUGAUGUUUUACAUUCAAUGGAAAAUAAAUGUGUUAUGAUUGGGUUGGCUUCUUUUUGUAUUUGGAUGAUUUGGAAGGCUAAAAAUCAUUUGGUUUUUGCAAGUGAAGUGUGGGAUCCUCUUUUGGUGGCUAAUUUGGCUGCAGCUCGUUUUUUGGAAUUUUUUAAAAGUGCAGCAAAAAUGUAAGCAGCUAAUGUCUCCGUUGAAUUCUAUCUUGUCCUCAACAGUUGGAGUCGUUCGUUGCUGAACAUGAUCAAAUGUAACGUGGAUGUCAGCUUUUCCAAAUCUUCUUUGUUAAGGGGUGGAGGGGCGGUUUAUAGAAAGUCAGAUGGCUCUAUUAUCCAAGCUGUGAUCUUUAAGCCGUAUUCCUCCUCAUCUAUGUUUGAGGCUGAGACUUUUGCUUUUUGUCGAGCUAUUUAAUGGGCUAAAGUCUUUAAUUUUCAGGCGGUCUGUUUUGAGUCGGAUGCUAAAGUGGUGGUGGAGGCUUUGCCAGGAGUUCGCUCUGUCGGGGGUGAGGUAGCUUCUUUAAUGGCUGUUGUGCAACAAAAGCUUAAAUCUUUUCAUACAUUCUCCAUUGUUCAUGUGCGAAGGGAGGGUAAUAUGGCUGCCCAUGCUUUGGCUUCUUUAUCGACUGCUGAUAUAGAUGUCGAUUUGGUGCUUAGUUCCAUGCCAUCAUCAUUUCUUUGCAUUGUGGAGGCGGAUGUUGCUAUUUGAGUUUUUUUUUUUUUUGGGGGCCUUUGAGGGUCCAUAAUCUUCAAAUAAUUAGGAAUAUGGCUGGCUUGUAUGGUAUGACAGAGAUAGUCUGUGCAUUCAAAUGUUGUUUGGGUUGUUUUUCUUUUUCUUCUAUUGUUUAUGCAGUUUUUAGGCAA